GGGAGGGGUGCUAACGUUGCUCGGAAUUACUGGGCGUAAAGCGCAUGUAGGCGGACUAAUAAGUCUCGUGUGAAAGCCCUGGGCUCAACCCAGGAAGUGCGCGGGAAACUAUUAAUCUAGAGUAUGGUAGGAGUGGGCGGAGUCCCCGGUGUAGAGGUGAAAUUCGUAGAUAUCGGGAGGAACACCAGUAGCGAAGGCGGUUCACUAGGCCAACACUGACGCUGAGAUGCGAAAGCGUGGGGAGCAAACAGGAUUAGAUACCCUGGUAGUCCACGCCGUAAACGAUGGAUACUAGGUGUUGGGGGCUUGACCCCUUCAGCGCCGAAGCUAACGCAUUAAGUAUCCCGCCUGGGGAGUACGGUCGCAAAGACUA
RNAcentral lists this ribosomal RNA (373 nucleotides) under uncultured organism. RNAcentral's name for it is "partial 16S ribosomal RNA". It matches the Rfam family "Bacterial small subunit ribosomal RNA", at positions 525 to 896 of the family's 1533-position model. The record is from RNAcentral.